Vollenhovia emeryi is the source of this 1312-nucleotide long non-coding RNA. RefSeq lists it as uncharacterized. NCBI's taxonomy places the organism in Eukaryota, Metazoa, Arthropoda, Insecta, Hymenoptera, Formicidae. The transcript has 3 exons. The record is from RefSeq and is a predicted model, not a curated record.
UCACGGGACGUUACGCGUUAGUGCCACGAAGCCCUGACCGCGCUCCAAAGCGAGUCCUGGCGUCUCUGUGCUCGACGCUCUCCGCGCAUACGGUCUUCCUUAAAUAUUCAAUAUUCGCUUUCCAGAUUCGUUCUACGAAUGAAAAACAGAUGAAGGCAAAUUAAGUCGGGGUUAAAGCUUCUUCUAAUUAUGACGUCCGGCACCCUUCUCUCUAUCGUUCCAAUUGGUUAAAAGACGUGUUGUUCGCUCCCAUAGAUAUAGGAUUCCUAUCAAUUCCUAUCGCUCCACGUCCCAAGCGGGUCUCGAGGUUAAAGCAUAGAGCUAUUGCAGAUAGAGGGAAGCAGGUAGGCGACGUGACGGAAGUGUCCUAGGCAUUGUGGGUAAAGUGGAUCAAGAUGGCCGCUCACGGGCGCCAAUAUUGAAUAUCUUCUCGGCAUCGCAGCACGAUGGCACUAAGAAAAGUAGCUCAAAGUUUUCAGUAGUAAUUACAAAACGAUUUUAUUUAAAGUAUGAUUUCCAAAAUAACUUUGCCAAUACUAUAUUCAUAAUUAUUAUCAGCGAGUAACCUUAUGAUACAGAUAUAGAAGGUCGUGCUGAUAGUUUCCACGGAAUCAACGUCAGGCAGUAGGCAUUGUCCUCUCGAAGGCGGCAGUCGUCCGAUGAUAUCCAAAUGAACGUGGUGGAAGCAUGCGUUGGGCAUCGCUAUGCGUUUUGGAAUGUUCCUCGCGUGGCGGUGAAUUUCACUGCGUUGGCAAGAGACAUUCCCUCGUCCAUGCAGCAAUAUGAUCGCUGUUCAUGUUGGGCCACACGAAACUGCGCUGGAUGAUCCUCAGCGUCGCUCUGGUGGAUGCAUCAGUGCGUUGUAGUAGCGGUGCAUUGUCCAGUGGAUGCGCAAGCAAUGCUGCGACGCCAAUCCCCUGUCUUUUUCUUGAAUAGAUGCAGAAGACUGGUCCAAGGGCUGCAGGUACCUUCAGCUACCAAAUGUGUGAAUUGUUCACGGGCGGCUUAUAAUUUUUCCGGUAGCAAACGUCUCGCCCGCUCGGCGACCGGCGGUCCUCGUGUCUGGGCUCGAUGCGGUGGGCCGGCCUGGCAACCUCGGCAAGCUCCCUGAGUAGAUCUGCGUAUCGGGCCGUGCGGUCUAUCGUGGAUACGGCGGAAGACAGGGCUCGGACUAGACGUCCGACGAAACCCAUUCUGGUUUCUCCGUCCACGAGUUGGCGUUGUCGAAGUUGAAUCAAAAGAUUGUGACGUACGAGAAAAUCGGCACCCAAGAUUGCCUGCGUCACGUCCGCACCGAUGAAGAUCCACUCAU